GAUGAAGAACGCAGCGAAAUGCGAUACUUGGUGUGAAUUGCAGAAUCCCGUGAACCAUCGAGUCUUUGAACGCAAGUUGCGCCCGAAGCCGUCAGGCCGAGGGCACGCCUGCCUGGGCGUCACACGCCGUUGCCCCCCCGCGCCCCGCACCCAACUCUUUGGGAGCGACCGCGGGGCGGGCUGAUGAUGGCCUCCCGUGCGCUCCGCCGCGCGGUUGGCCCAAAUACCGAGUCCCCGGCGACGUGCGCCACGACGAUCGGUGGUUGAGAGACCUCUGUCGCAAGUCGUGCGCGCCCGUCGCGUCACGCGGGCUCGCAUAGCGACUCGCGCCGCACCCGGUGCGGAGCUUUCAACGCGACCCCAGGUCAGGCGGGGUUACCCGCUGAAUUUAAGCAUAUCAAUAAGCGGAGGA
Molecule: unclassified non-coding RNA, 412 nt
Filed under: soil metagenome
Description: partial contains 5.8S ribosomal RNA, internal transcribed spacer 2, and large subunit ribosomal RNA
Rfam family: 5.8S ribosomal RNA (bases 1-122)
Source: RNAcentral